RNAcentral lists this ribosomal RNA (464 nucleotides) under Vreelandella stevensii. RNAcentral's name for it is "partial 16S ribosomal RNA". It matches the Rfam family "Bacterial small subunit ribosomal RNA", at positions 339 to 795 of the family's 1533-position model. Lineage: Bacteria; Pseudomonadati; Pseudomonadota; Gammaproteobacteria; Oceanospirillales; Halomonadaceae. The record is from RNAcentral.
CUACGUGUGGCAGCAGUGGGGAAUAUUGGACAAUGGGCGAAAGCCUGAUCCAGCCAUGCUGCGUGUGUGAAGAAGGCCUUCGGGUUGUAAAGCACUUUCAGUGGGGAAGAAAGCCUUGGGGCUAAUACCCUCGAGGAAGGACAUCACCCACAGAAGAAGCACCGGCUAACUCCGUGCCAGCAGCCGCGGUAAUACGGAGGGUGCGAGCGUUAAUCGGAAUUACUGGGCGUAAAGCGCGCGUAGGCGGUCUGAUAAGCCGGUUGUGAAAGCCCCGGGCUCAACCUGGGAACGGCAUCCGGAACUGUCAGGCUAGAGUGCAGGAGAGGAAGGUAGAAUUCCCGGUGUAGCGGUGAAAUGCGUAGAGAUCGGGAGGAAUACCAGUGGCGAAGGCGGCCUUCUGGACUGACACUGACGCUGAGGUGCGAAAGCGUGGGUAGCAAACAGGAUUAGAUACCCUGGUAGUC